This 92-nucleotide transfer RNA is filed under the name Pseudomonadota bacterium. RNAcentral describes it as "Proteobacteria bacterium tRNA-Ser". It matches the Rfam family "tRNA". From Rfam's summary of the family: Transfer RNA (tRNA) molecules are approximately 80 nucleotides in length. Their secondary structure includes four short double-helical elements and three loops (D, anti-codon, and T loops). Further hydrogen bonds mediate the characteristic L-shaped molecular structure. tRNAs have two regions of fundamental functional importance: the anti-codon, which is responsible for specific mRNA codon recognition, and the 3' end, to which the tRNAs corresponding amino acid is attached (by aminoacyl-tRNA synthetases). tRNAs cope with the degeneracy of the genetic code in two manners: having more than one tRNA (with a specific anti-codon) for a particular amino acid; and 'wobble' base-pairing, i.e. permitting non-standard base-pairing at the 3rd anti-codon position. RNAcentral also lists the same sequence under 1 other name. The record is from RNAcentral. Lineage: Bacteria; Pseudomonadati; Pseudomonadota.
GGAGAGGUGACGGAGUCCGGUUGAACGUGCCCGACUCGAAAUCGGGUGUACUCGAGAGAGUACCGUGGGUUCGAAUCCCACCCUCUCCGCCA